AUGAUGAUGUCACUGACUCUACUGCUGGCCACCCUGGGGCUCCUUGUUCAAGGUUCAUCAGGACAAAUCACUGUGACUCAGUCUCCUGGAUCUCAGUCUGUUGUUCCAGGACAGACUGUCUCCAUCAGAUGUAAAACCAGUUCAAGUGUUAGUAACAACCUCCACUGGUACCUUCAGAAAUCUGGAGAAGCUCCUAAACUCCUGAUUUAUUAUGCUACAAACCUUCAGCCUGGAGUUUCAGAUCGUUUUAGUGGAAGUGGAUCUGGGACUGACUUCACUCUGACCAUCAGUGGAGUUCAGGCUGAAGAUUCAGGAGUUUAUUACUGUCAGAGUGCACAAUAUAUCAACAGUCAGUGGGUGUUCACACAGUGAAAAAGCGUCGUACAAA
Molecule: non-coding RNA, 388 nt
Organism: Thunnus maccoyii (southern bluefin tuna)
Lineage: Eukaryota; Metazoa; Chordata; Actinopteri; Scombriformes; Scombridae
Source: the annotation of a RefSeq genome assembly